Molecule: transfer RNA, 71 nt
Filed under: Stegodyphus mimosarum
Lineage: Eukaryota; Metazoa; Arthropoda; Arachnida; Araneae; Eresidae
Rfam family: tRNA
About the family: Transfer RNA (tRNA) molecules are approximately 80 nucleotides in length. Their secondary structure includes four short double-helical elements and three loops (D, anti-codon, and T loops).
Source: Rfam by way of RNAcentral
GCCCUCGUGGUGUAAUGGUAACACACUCGGCUCGUAUUCGAGAGGUGCAGAUUCGAGUUCCGGAGAGGGCA